AAACCGGGCAGAGAGGCUGGAAACGGCAGAGGAGGAAAAGAAGAAAGAAAAGAAAAGAAAAAGAAGAAGAAAAAGAAGAGGAGAAAAAGGAAGGAAAAUAGAUAGUUCAAGCUUAUUUCCAUUCUCCUUUCUCUAUAUUUUCUUCAAGAGGUAAAUGAAUGAUUUUAUGUUAAAUUUUUAGGGUUUUAACUUGUGGUAUAAAUUUCAGAUUUAAGAGGCUAAGAGUACAAAUUGGAGCUCAAGUUUGUUGAUUCUUUAAUCUCCAAUUUCAUUAAGGUAAGAAUACUAAUUUUUGGCAAACCCUAGAUUUUAAAUUGGAUACUUGAGUAAGGAUUAAUUGUGAACAUGAUUAUGGUGAUGAUCUAUUAACUUGAAAGAAUGGAUCUAUGGAAUAAGAUAUAAAUUAGAUUGGUGCGAGUGGGAAUUCAAGUUUCACUAGAUUAGAAUAAAGAAUUGUUUUUAUUUUUGGGAUGUAGGCAAUUAUGAUAAUUUAAAGAUUAGUGAAAUGCUAGAAGGUAGAAUUUGUUUCAAUUGUGAAGGAAACUAAAGAAUAUAUUCAAGUGCCGAAAAGUCAAGUUCUAAGAUUUCAUAAUUAAAUGUUAAGAUACAUAGUAUGGGAGUUGUUAAAUUAGUUAUUUUACAUCGUAUUUCAGGUGAUGACGUGAAAGCUUGACAAGGUUGGUCAAUUUGACCAGAUUGCUAUCCAUAGAUCUAUGAGUGGAGAAUCUACGUUUCCAAAAAGAAUAUUUUCUUUUUAUUUUAUAGAAGCAAAUUAAUUACAUGAGAUGCCUUAUUUUCUUACUCUAGUGCACCGAGGGGUUAUGGCCGUGUACUAGAGUCAUGUAUUUAACUCCUAUACACUGAGGGACUACAGCCGUGUGUAAGGGCAUUUCUUAUCCACUGAGGGGCUACGACCGUGGGUAAAGGUAUCCAUUAUACAUUAAGGGGCUACAGCCGUGCAUAAAGAUGAUUAUGUUGUUUCCAUCUUGUACACUGAGGGGCUACGACUGUGUACAGAGUAUUGAUCAGAAGGUUUAUGUACGUAUGAUUUAUAGCUUUCAGAUCAUUAGUAGAUGUUUACACGGGAUAUAUUUGAUGUAAAUUUUAAUUAUAUAGAGGAUUAUUAGUCUUCAGCUUCCAGUUACCCGUUUACAGUUCAACUUAUGGAUUUCAGAUUAUAGAGUUCAAUUUAUUUAGUUCUAAGAAUAAAGCUUCCGGCUUAUAAUAUUGAGCAACAAUAUUCCAUAGAUUUUCAUGAAUACUAGAUUCUUUGUAUUCGUUAUACUUUGC
This 1290-nucleotide long non-coding RNA is filed under the name Olea europaea subsp. europaea. The record is from RNAcentral. Lineage: Eukaryota; Viridiplantae; Streptophyta; Magnoliopsida; Lamiales; Oleaceae.